RNAcentral lists this ribosomal RNA (443 nucleotides) under uncultured bacterium. RNAcentral describes it as "partial 16S ribosomal RNA". It matches the Rfam family "Bacterial small subunit ribosomal RNA", at positions 338 to 795 of the family's 1533-position model. The record is from RNAcentral.
CCUACGGGAGGCAGCAGUGGGGAAUAUUGGGCAAUGGGCGCAAGCCUGACCCAGCAACGCCGCGUGAAGGAAGAAGGCUCUCGGGUUUUAAACUUCUUUUCUGAGGGACGAAGAAAGUGACGGUACCUCAGGAAUAAGCUACGGCUAAAGACGUGCCAGCAGCCGCGGUAAUACGUAGGUGGCAAGCGUUAUCCGGAUUUAAUGGGUGUAAAGGGCGUGUGGGUGGGAAAGUACGUCAGAUGUGAAAACUCAGGGCUCAAACCUGAGCCUGCAGUUGAAACUGUUUUUCUUGAGUGCUGGAGAGGCAAGCGGAAUUCCGGGUGUAGCGGUGAAAUGCGUAGAUAUACGGAGGAACACCAGUGGCGAAGGCAGAUUGCUGGACAGUAACUGACGCUGAGGCGCGAAAGCGUGGGGAGCAAACAGGAUUAGAUACCCCAGUAGUC